Manis javanica (Malayan pangolin) is the source of this 818-nucleotide non-coding RNA. NCBI's taxonomy places the organism in Eukaryota, Metazoa, Chordata, Mammalia, Pholidota, Manidae. The record is from RefSeq and is a predicted model, not a curated record.
CCCGCCGCAGCCGCACUCUGAGCCGCCGCGGCCCGAUCACUGGGCGGCGGCGCCGGCGGCGGGUGGGACGGCGGCGGUCGAGCGGGAGGCGGGCCGGCCGGCGGCAGGCGGGCGGGCCGGCGGCAGGCGGACGGCGCAGUGCGGCUCCGGCCCGGCUGGACCGCGGGACCGUCCGCCGUCGCCAUUGGCCCGCGCUGCCGGGCCCCGCCGCCGCCCAUUGGCCCCCGCGCUGCACCAUUGUUACGUCACUGGCCAGUGGGCGGAGCGCCCAGAAGGACCCGCGGAAAAGUUGGGAGAAACUUGAGGGCGCGCGGGGGUGGGGACCGGCACGGGAAGGGCGGGGCUCCGGAAACCCGAGCCGCGGGCGGAGGCCGUCUGCUGGGCGGCGGGCGGCGGGGGUCUGGGCCGCAAUUGCGGAACGCUGCUCAGGGAGAGUCCGGAGGCGCGCGCAGGCUUCCCGGCAGCACCGAGCCUGACUCUUCUCUUCCCCUCGAGUCUUAUUCCAAGUCCCCUUUGCACCGACCCUCAGUGACCUUGGGGAGGAGCUCCGGGACUGUUUUCACGUGUGUGCAUGGAGGGGUCAAAGGCAUGGGAAUUACGACCCUCAAUCCAUCGGGCAGGAAAUCGGAGCUCAGAGGGAAGUGGCCUCCAAGUGAGCAGCGUCCCGGAAGGAAGACAGUAUCUUCAACCCAACCUUUGAAAACAAGUGUUUUUAAACUACAAGAGGGUCCAGAAUCUGCACUUAUUGUAGAGGGAGGAAACGAAGCUAACAUUCAAAGGGGACAAAAGGAAUCGACUAAGCCGGGAGGUAGCAACAU